Molecule: ribosomal RNA, 630 nt
Filed under: Stenotrophomonas maltophilia
Lineage: Bacteria; Pseudomonadati; Pseudomonadota; Gammaproteobacteria; Lysobacterales; Lysobacteraceae
Description: bacterial SSU rRNA
Rfam family: Bacterial small subunit ribosomal RNA
Source: RNAcentral
AUCUACUUUUUCGUGGGGGAUAACGUACGGAAACUUACGCUAAUACCGCAUACGACCUACGGGUGAAAGCAGGGGAUCUUCGGACCUUGCGCGAUUGAAUGAGCCGAUGUCGGAUUAGCUAGUUGGCGGGGUAAAGGCCCACCAAGGCGACGAUCCGUAGCUGGUCUGAGAGGAUGAUCAGCCACACUGGAACUGAGACACGGUCCAGACUCCUACGGGAGGCAGCAGUGGGGAAUAUUGGACAAUGGGCGCAAGCCUGAUCCAGCCAUACCGCGUGGGUGAAGAAGGCCUUCGGGUUGUAAAGCCCUUUUGUUGGGAAAGAAAUCCAGCUGGCUAAUACCCGGUUGGGAUGACGGUACCCAAAGAAUAAGCACCGGCUAACUUCGUGCCAGCAGCCGCGGUAAUACGAAGGGUGCAAGCGUUACUCGGAAUUACUGGGCGUAAAGCGUGCGUAGGUGGUCGUUUAAGUCCGUUGUGAAAGCCCUGGGCUCAACCUGGGAACUGCAGUGGAUACUGGGCGACUAGAGUGUGGUAGAGGGUAGCGGAAUUCCUGGUGUAGCAGUGAAAUGCGUAGAGAUCAGGAGGAACAUCCAUGGCGAAGGCAGCUACCUGGACCAACACUGACACUGA